CAUGACUGGAUGACCUUGAAGAGAUGUGGCAUAGGUCGAGAGACGGACAGUUUUCUAUGUGUUUCUACUUAGCUGAGUAUGACGUCAUAACACGAUAUGAUGAGCCCACCUGUUCCCGAGUAGAUCCCGCUAGGAUGAAAAUGAAGAGAUCAUUCCGCUGCCGUAAUUUAAAUAAUAGAAGAUUACAAUAGAAGACAGCCAAAUGUUUAACCUGUCGUUGGAAAUAAAAGCUCUCUUAAAACCUAUGAGUUGCUAUAAGGAAGAUACAACCCACAUGGAAGAAAGUUUUUCAUUGCAUUGCUGUGUAUUUAAUUAAUACGGCUACUAAAAAGUCUACUGGUGUUGGCAUCAAUUUUUAGUUGGAAGAUUUAUUACAUACUGCUUUAAGAUAACUGUCCUAAAGAUGUAAAAGAUAAAAACAAUCUUUUGGUCACUUCAUAAAGGAUUACAGGCACUUGAUUAAAAAAUAGUAGGGCAUAAAUAGGCAGUUGUCUAUAAAAUAAAGUCCAAAGUCCAAUAUAAAGUCCAAUAAAGUCCAAAAUAAAGACUACUGAAGAUAACAAUAUUUUACAGCCCAAUAUAGUUUGUAUAGUACUUUCUAUGUUUGAUUCUGUGCAUGCCUCAAGCAUGAUAUAAAGAUAUGUAGCUUUAUAAAUUAACACGUUUUACAUCCAUUUAUGACUUGUGGAAAUUAUAUUUUUGAAUUAAAAGUAAUAUAAUAAAGCAACAUGUAUUUGCUAACGUUUUUCUUGUAGGAAUACAAUUUUGUAAGUAAAAAAUUUUUUUUUUGUCAGCUUUCAUUUACAUGAUAUUUAUUCCUUAUUAAACAAUAAAAAAUAUUGUUAUAUUUUUCUACUUUCUGCGACCAAUAUUAUCUUUAAAACACAAAAACGUUAUUUCAACUAAAAAUGUAUAGCUUAACCUUAACCUACAACUUUUAACCAAAAGUGCUAGUGGAUAUUAUUUAAAUAAUAAAUCCCACUAAAUA
Homalodisca vitripennis (glassy-winged sharpshooter) is the source of this 988-nucleotide long non-coding RNA. RefSeq lists it as uncharacterized. The record is from RefSeq and is a predicted model, not a curated record. The transcript has 2 exons. NCBI's taxonomy places the organism in Eukaryota, Metazoa, Arthropoda, Insecta, Hemiptera, Cicadellidae.